CCCCAGGUGCCCCUCCCUCCCCUCCCCCACCACGGCUCCGUGCUUCCCUCUACUUUGCCCCUCCUGGACGAGAUUUUACUCAUUUAUUCACGAGAGACACACACGCACGGAGAGAGGGAGAGGCAGGCUCCACGCAGGGAGCCCGACGCGGGACGCGACCCCGGGUCUCCAGGGUCACGCCCCGGGCCCAAGGCGGCGCCACACGGCUGAGCCCCCCGGGGAGCCCCGGUACUGUUUGCACUACGUUGGCCCACUAGCCUCCUUGCACUUCCUUCAGGGAUGGCGCUCUCCCCCCAGGGCCUUUUGCCUACCACACGGUCCCUAGCAGGCCAGGUAACACACACGCCUUCACUUAACUAGUUGCUGAAAUGUCCCCAUAUCAGAUUUUCCUUUAACCAUUUUUCUGAAAUGGCGCUUACAUCUCUUCUUAGCAUUUACCACUUGAUGUAUAUUUUUUCAGUCCUCUCACAAUUGACUAAAUUCCAGGAGUCCUACGAAUUGCUUUGUUUAUUGUAUGGUGAGCAGCACCCCGUACAAAGCCUGGUAUUUGACAUUUAGGAACUCACUAGAUGUUUACUGGGUAUUUAUUGGUUGGAUGGCAGGACUUAAACUCACGUUAGGAUGGUUCCAUAGCCUAGUGCACUUUUCACUGCAACCAAGAACUAUGGAGCCAGAUCUGCUGGCUAUCCAAGGCAUCUCUCAGCUUUAUUUUAUUUUAUUUUUAAGUUAUUCAUGAGAGACACACAGAGAGAGGCAGAGACACAGGCAGAGAGAGAAGCAAGCUCCAUAUAAGGAGCCGGAUGCGGGAUGCGGGAUGCGGGACUCCAUGCCGGGACAUCCGGGAUCACACCCUAAGCCAAAGGCAGAUGCUCAACCGCUGAGCCACCCAGGCGUCCCAUCUCUCAAUUUUAAUACUAAGAACUGGCUUGGGACAAAAUGCCCCAAAUCGCAGUCCUCCCGCCUCGGUGACAUGAGAGGCUCCAUGAGGCCAGGAAACAACAGUGCAAGAUGAAAAAGCAGAUCACAAAAAAGCAGGCCUUAGCUUACCACGCACUGAUCAUCUCCCUAUCUGCUGAGAUUUAGGUAUAACACGUGUUCUGGAGCCAGACUGCCUGAAUACAAACCCACUCCUCCUCCAUCAGUAGUAGUAUGACCCUUGGCAAGAUUUAUUUAUUUGAGAGAGAAAGCGUGCACAAGGUGGGAGAGGGACAGAAGGAGAGAGAGACUCUCAAGCAAACUCCCUGCUGAGCACGGAGCGAGAGCAUGAUCUGAACCAAAAUCAAGAGUUGGACACCCAGCUGACUGGGCCACCCAGGCACCCCCAAAAAAUUCACUUCUAAAAUAAAUUUGAGAUUACUCUGAAAAAACUCUAAUCCCAAUUAGUAACUGUAAUUCAUGGUAAAUACAUUAAAAAGAAUUCUGUAUAUCAUUUGCAGUAACGAAGAGUCACAGAUUCUGAAGGGACCUUAAAAGUCAUCUAGCCCAACCCUCCUAACCUAAUAUUUAGAUAGAAUAAUAAAAAAACAAGAAACACCAAAAUCAAAAAAAUAAUAGCAGCUUGCUGAGGAAAGAACUGACUUCUCUGAAACUGAGAACAGUCCAAGGAAUAUAAUACAACCAGAAAUAUCCCCCUUUUCAAACAGGGACAUCUGGUAAUCAGUACUUUCAUUAAAAAAGUAUUUUGGCCUAAUAUGUCAAGUUGCCCAGGGCGGUUUUAUCAGUCACUUGACUUCAUUUUCCAGUUUCAAAGUUUUCAAUUUGUUUCAAACCAAAAGAAAUCAGACCAUACUGUGGGUUGAUUUUAAUGAACAAAAUUAUCUGUAUAAAAACAUUUAAACUUUAUCAAAUGCUUUAAAAACACACACGCACAGAUCCAAAUCCAUUACAUAAUCUUUGAACAUUAUCUCUUUUCACCUCAACAUGAGUGAAGGGACUUCUGGAUAAAAUUCUACAUGUGAAAAAAAGACAACCCAUAGUCUCACACAUGUAUGCGCGCGCGCGCACACACACACACACACACACACACACACUCUUUAAGAACUAAAAUACUUGGGAAAAGUGUGACUGGGAUGGGAAUGAAUUUCUCAGAAAGCUUCUAUAAAAGAACACUACACAGGUAAAAGAAGUUCCUAUGCCAAGGGAAGAUGCAGAGAGGGGAAAAAGAAAGCAGGGCUUAGCCAAACUCAUUAAUAAAUAGUUUGAGAAGUUCAUUCAAGAACAGUGAAUUGGGGGAGUUACAGAGGACCCCUCAUUUUCACCACCUCAGAGUCUGUGAAUCUGAUAACCGAUGAUGCUUCAAAAGUACGUUACGUUCUCGGUUUUUUACAGGUCUUGAUCUAUUCAUCAUUAUUUAGGUGUGGUUUGUCCCUGUCAGCGGUGGAUUCCUCAGUUGUCAUGCAGUGCUCUGCUGUCCUAUCCACCAGAAGAGCCAUGGUCAGAGACGGCAGCAAGCGUGACAUCGCAGCUGGUGGUUAAAGAGCCAAGAUUGCCCGGGUUUGGAUUUCAGCGACACUAUGUGCUAGCUGCCUGUCACUCGGCAAGCUCCUCAGCCACUUUAGGUCUCUGUUUCCUCACGUUCAAUUAGGGAUCAUUAUUGCCUACUUCAUAGAGGAUUGUUAAAUAGGAGCUCAACAAGGUAAUCCACUUAAAGGAUGUGUCACACUACGAGGCACAAGCAAAUGCUCAGUAAAUGUCAGCUAAAAUUACUAUUAGUCUUGGUAUUACAGGGCAACCAAAAGAAAAAUUCUAUUUCUGUAUUUCUCCUCUUUGGUGAGGUUUUCGGGGGCCAACUGUGGCAAAAGCCAGUACAUAUGAUGCAAAAGAGACUGAGGAUCUAGUCUUAGGAAUAUAGAUGUUCACUUUUAUAUUAAAAAAAAAUUACAUGGCUCCAUAUCACAAAAUUUAACAUCUUUCCAUUAAA
Nyctereutes procyonoides (raccoon dog) is the source of this 2920-nucleotide long non-coding RNA. RefSeq lists it as uncharacterized. The record is from RefSeq and is a predicted model, not a curated record. NCBI's taxonomy places the organism in Eukaryota, Metazoa, Chordata, Mammalia, Carnivora, Canidae. The transcript is spliced from 2 exons.